RNAcentral lists this small RNA (25 nucleotides) under Arabidopsis thaliana (thale cress). RNAcentral's name for it is "ATSL221220". The record is from RNAcentral. Lineage: Eukaryota; Viridiplantae; Streptophyta; Magnoliopsida; Brassicales; Brassicaceae.
GUAAAUUUGUAUUUGCCGCAUUAUA